GACGAACGCUGGCGGCGUGCUUAACACAUGCAAGUCGAACGGAAAGGCCCUGCUUUUGUGGGGUGCUCGAGUGGCGAACGGGUGAGUAACACGUGAGUAACCUGCCCUUGACUUUGGGAUAACUUCAGGAAACUGGGGCUAAUACCGGAUAGGAGCUCCUGCUGCAUGGUGGGGGUUGGAAAGUUUCGGCGGUUGGGGAUGGGCUCGCGGCUUAUCAGCUUGUUGGUGGGGUAGUGGCUUACCAAGGCUUUGACGGGUAGCCGGCCUGAGAGGGUGACCGGCCACAUUGGGACUGAGAUACGGCCCAGACUCCUGCGGGAGGCAGCAGUGGGGAAUAUUGCACAAUGGGCGGAAGCCUGAUGCAGCAACGCCGCGUGCGGGAUGACGGCCUUCGGGUUGUAAACCGCUUUCGCCUGUGACGAAGCGUGAGUGACGGUAAUGGGUAAAGAAGCACCGGCUAACUACGUG
This 468-nucleotide ribosomal RNA is filed under the name uncultured bacterium. Its description in RNAcentral is "partial 16S ribosomal RNA". It matches the Rfam family "Bacterial small subunit ribosomal RNA", at positions 28 to 507 of the family's 1533-position model. The record is from RNAcentral.